UACGUAGGGGGCUAGCGUUGUCCGGAAUCAUUGGGCGUAAAGAGCGUGUAGGCGGCCCGGUAAGUCCGCUGUAAAAGUCAAAGGCUCAACCUUUGAAUGUCAGUGGAUACUGCCGGGCUAGAGUCCGGAAGAGGCGAGUGGAACUCCUGGUGUAGCGGUGGAAUGCGCAGAUAUCAGGAGGAACACCGGUGGCGAAGGCGGGUCUCUGGGCAGUAACUGACGCUGAGGAGCGAAAGCGUGGGGAGCGAACAGG
This 253-nucleotide ribosomal RNA is filed under the name uncultured bacterium. RNAcentral's name for it is "partial 16S ribosomal RNA". It matches the Rfam family "Bacterial small subunit ribosomal RNA", at positions 524 to 776 of the family's 1533-position model. The record is from RNAcentral.